This 639-nucleotide small RNA is filed under the name Arabidopsis thaliana (thale cress). RNAcentral's name for it is "ATSL045870". Lineage: Eukaryota; Viridiplantae; Streptophyta; Magnoliopsida; Brassicales; Brassicaceae. The record is from RNAcentral.
AAACACAUUUCGAUUAUUUUAUAAGAAAUUUAAACAUUAUAAAUAUUUAAACUUUAUACUACGGAUGAAAUUUUAGAAUUGACUGGUUUGGGUUGAUAAUAAUUUGCGAUAGAAUUAGGAGUUAAAUCCUAGAAUGACAAUCAAAAUAUAAUUAUACAAUUAAAUACUACCUCAGAUGAAAUCCUAGAAUUGACGGGUUUGAAUCGAUAUUAAUAUGGGAUGGUGUACUACGAGUGAAAUUUUAGAAUUGACUGGUUUGGAUUGAUAAUAAUUUGCGAUAGAACUAGGAGUGAAAUCCUAGAAUAACAAUUAAAAUAUAAUUAUACAAUUAAAUACUACCACGGGUGAAAUUCUAUAAUUGACGGACUUGAUUCGAUAUCAAUAUGGGAUGGUGUACUACGGGUAAAAUCCGAGAAACAACAAUCAAAAUACAAUUAUACAAUAUUAAACAUUUAACAAAAUAAACAAAUACAACUUAAAACUUUAAAAUUUGAAUUAUAAAAUUUUGUCUCGCGAUGAAUUAUACAUUUAAAUCAAACAAUAGCAUAAAUUUAUUAAAUCAUCCUACAAAGUAUUCUAUUAUUUUUUAUUUAAUAAAAAUAUAGGCACGCGGUAUACCACAAAUUAAUAUCUAGUAUU